This 445-nucleotide ribosomal RNA is filed under the name uncultured bacterium. Its description in RNAcentral is "partial 16S ribosomal RNA". It matches the Rfam family "Bacterial small subunit ribosomal RNA", at positions 354 to 796 of the family's 1533-position model. The record is from RNAcentral.
GUAGGGAAUAUUGGUCAAUGGACGAAAGUCUGAACCAGCCAUUCCGCGUGCAGGAAGAAGAUUCUAUGGAUUGUAAACUGCUUUUAGCAGAGAAGAAACGCCUUCAUUGAUGAGGGUUUGACGGUAUCUGCGGAAUAAGCACCGACUAACUCCGUGCCAGCAGCCGCGGAAAUACGGGGGGUGCAAGCGUUAUCCGGAAUCACUGGGUUUAAAGGGUGCGUAGGCGGGAAAUUAAGUCAGUGGUGAAAGUCUGUUGCUUAACGAUAGAAUUGCCGUUGAUACUGAUUUUCUUGAAUUGGGUUGAGGUUAGCGGAAUGUGACAUGUAGCGGUGAAAUGCAUAGAUAUGUCAUGGAACACCAAUUGCGAAGGCAGCUAGCUGGGCCUUGAUUGACGCUGAGGCACGAAAGCGUGGGUAGCGAACAGGAUUAGAAACCCUUGUAGUCC